Molecule: transfer RNA, 73 nt
Filed under: archaeon
Lineage: Archaea
Description: tRNA-Thr
Rfam family: tRNA
About the family: Transfer RNA (tRNA) molecules are approximately 80 nucleotides in length. Their secondary structure includes four short double-helical elements and three loops (D, anti-codon, and T loops).
Source: RNAcentral
GCCCAUGUAGCUCAACGGUUAGAGCAUCGGUUUUGUAAACCGGGGGUUGGGGGUUCGAUUCCCUCCAUGGGCU